GACGAACGCUGGCGGCGUGCUUAACACAUGCAAGUCGAGCGGUAAGGCCUUUCGGGGUACACGAGCGGCGAACGGGUGAGUAACACGUGGGUGAUCUGCCCUGCACUUCGGGAUAAGCCUGGGAAACUGGGUCUAAUACCGGAUAUGACCUCAGGUUGCAUGACUUGGGGUGGAAAGAUUUAUCGGUGCAGGAUGGGCCCGCGGCCUAUCAGCUUGUUGGUGGGGUAAUGGCCUACCAAGGCGACGACGGGUAGCCGACCUGAGAGGGUGACCGGCCACACUGGGACUGAGACACGGCCCAGACUCCUACGGGAGGCAGCAGUGGGGAAUAUUGCACAAUGGGCGAAAGCCUGAUGCAGCGACGCCGCGUGAGGGAUGACGGCCUUCGGGUUGUAAACC
RNAcentral lists this ribosomal RNA (399 nucleotides) under Rhodococcus sp. R-42322. Its description in RNAcentral is "bacterial SSU rRNA". It matches the Rfam family "Bacterial small subunit ribosomal RNA", at positions 28 to 431 of the family's 1533-position model. Lineage: Bacteria; Bacillati; Actinomycetota; Actinomycetes; Mycobacteriales; Nocardiaceae. The record is from RNAcentral.